This 274-nucleotide ribosomal RNA is filed under the name uncultured bacterium. RNAcentral describes it as "partial 16S ribosomal RNA". It matches the Rfam family "Bacterial small subunit ribosomal RNA", at positions 335 to 596 of the family's 1533-position model. The record is from RNAcentral.
ACUCCUACGGGAGGCAGCAGUCGGGGAAUAUUUGCACAAUGGGCGCAAGCCUGAUGCAGCCAUGCCGCGUGUGUGAAGAAGGCCUUCGGGUUGUAAAGCACUUUCAGUCGUGAGGAAGGUAGUGUAGUUAAUAGCUGCAUUAUUUGACGUUAGCGACAGAAGAAAGCACCGGCUAACUCCGUGCCAGCAGCCGCGGUAAUACGGAGGGUGCAAGCGUUAAUCGGAAUUACUGGGCGUAAAAGCGUGACGCAGGCGGUCUGUUAAGCGAGAUGUG